RNAcentral lists this ribosomal RNA (256 nucleotides) under uncultured bacterium. Its description in RNAcentral is "partial small subunit ribosomal RNA". It matches the Rfam family "Bacterial small subunit ribosomal RNA", at positions 26 to 286 of the family's 1533-position model. The record is from RNAcentral.
AGGACGAACGCUGGCGGCGUGCUUAACACAUGCAAGUCGAGCGGAAAGGCCCUUCGGGGUACUCGAGCGGCGAACGGGUGAGUAACACGUGAGUAACCUGCCCUAGGCUUUGGGAUAACCCUCGGAAACGGGGGCUAAUACCGGAUAUUCACUUCCUGCCGCAUGGUGGGUGGUGGAAAGUUUUUCGGUCUGGGAUGGGCUCGCGGCCUAUCAGCUUGUUGGUGGGGUGAUGGCCUACCAAGGCGACGACGGGUAG